CCUACGGGAGGCAGCAGUGAGGAAUAGUGGUCAAGGGACGCAAGUCUGAACCAGCCAAGUAGCGUGCAGGAUGACGGCCCUCCGGGUUGUAAACUGCUUUUAGUUGGGAAUAAAAGGGGGCUCGUGAGCCCCGUAUGGUAUGUACAAUCAGAAAAAGGACCGGCAAAUUCCGUGCUAGCAGCCGCGGGAAUACGGAAGGUCCGGGCGUUAUCCGGAUUUAUUGGGUUUCCAGUGAGCGUAGGCCGGCUUUUAAGUCAGCUGUGCACGUCCGCGGCUCAACCGUGGAAUUGCAGUUGAAACUGGCGUCCUUGCGUGCACUCCGGGCUGCCGCAAUUCAUGCUGUAGC
RNAcentral lists this ribosomal RNA (346 nucleotides) under uncultured bacterium. RNAcentral describes it as "partial 16S ribosomal RNA". It matches the Rfam family "Bacterial small subunit ribosomal RNA", at positions 338 to 679 of the family's 1533-position model. The record is from RNAcentral.